RNAcentral lists this ribosomal RNA (433 nucleotides) under uncultured bacterium. RNAcentral's name for it is "partial 16S ribosomal RNA". It matches the Rfam family "Bacterial small subunit ribosomal RNA", at positions 29 to 507 of the family's 1533-position model. The record is from RNAcentral.
AACGAACGCUGGCGGCAUGCCUAACACAUGCAAGUCGAACGAGACCUUCGGGUCUAGUGGCGCACGGGUGCGUAACGCGUGGGAACCUGCCCUUAGGUUCGGAAUAACUCCCCGAAAGGGGUGCUAAUACCGGAUAAUGUCUUCGGACCAAAGAUUUAUCGCCUUUGGAUGGGCCCGCGUUGGAUUAGCUAGUUGGUAGGGUAAAAGCCUACCAAGGCGACGAUCCAUAGCUGGUCUGAGAGGAUGAUCAGCCACACUGAGACUGAGACACGGCCCAGACUCCUACGGGAGGCAGCAGUGGGGGAUAUUGGACUAUGGGCGAAAGCCUGAUCCAGCAAUGCCGCGUGAGUGAUGAAGGCCUUAGGGUUGUAAAGCUCUUUUACCCGGGAUGAUAAUGACAGUACCGGGAGAAUAAGCUCCGGCUAACUCCGUG